This 211-nucleotide long non-coding RNA is filed under the name Prunus persica (peach). Its description in RNAcentral is "long non-coding RNA (PPER_LNC000018)". The record is from RNAcentral. Lineage: Eukaryota; Viridiplantae; Streptophyta; Magnoliopsida; Rosales; Rosaceae.
AAAUGGUCCAGAGAGGCUGAAGUUGUUAGAGUGGUCCUAAUUAACUCUAAUUGGUUGACUAAGACUUAACCAUAACUCGAUCGAGUCUCAAGCCAAGGCUUCUCCACAAGCAUCUAAGUUUUGCUUUCCAUAAGGAAUAAGAAGAGAGAGAAGAAAGCAACUACCAUUCAUUCAUUGAUGUUGUCGUAUUCUUGACAACAACAUCUGCCCA